GACAGAGGGGGCAAGCGUUGCUCGGAAUCACUGGGCGUAAAGGGCGCGUAGGCGGGAUGGCAAGUCGGUCGUGAAAUCCCUGGGCUCAACUCAGGGGGGUCGGCCGAUACUGCCGUUCUUGAGGGAUGCAGAGGAGACUGGAAUUCCCGGUGUAGCGGUGAAAUGCGCAGAUAUCAGGAGGAACACCUAUUGCGAAGGCAGCUCGCUGGGACGUAACUGACGCUGAGACGCGAAAGCGUGGGGAGCAAACAGG
Molecule: ribosomal RNA, 253 nt
Filed under: uncultured bacterium
Lineage: Bacteria
Description: partial 16S ribosomal RNA
Rfam family: Bacterial small subunit ribosomal RNA
Source: RNAcentral